Molecule: ribosomal RNA, 405 nt
Filed under: uncultured bacterium
Lineage: Bacteria
Description: bacterial SSU rRNA
Rfam family: Bacterial small subunit ribosomal RNA
Source: RNAcentral
AUUGAACGCUGGCGGCGUGGCUAAAGCAUGCAAGUCGAGCGAACCCGCAAGGGUGAGCGGCGGACGGGUUAGUAAUACGAUCGAACGUGCCCUGAGGCGGGGGAUAGGCGUGGGAAACUGCGCGUAAUACCCCAUGAUCUCUCCGGAGCAAAGGUUUACCACCUUGGGAUCGGCGAUCGUCCUAUCAGCUAGUUGGCGGGGUAAAGGCCCACCAAGGCUAUGACGGGUAGCAGGUGNGAGAGCACGACCUGCAACAUCGGGACUGAGACACUGCCCGGACUCCUACGGGAGGCUGCAGCGACGAAUCUUCCGCAAUGGGCGCAAGCCUGACGGAGCGACGCCGCGUGUGGGAUGAAGCGCCUUCGGCGUGUAAACCACUGUCAGGGAACAGAACCAAUGAUCGUU